RNAcentral lists this transfer RNA (68 nucleotides) under Marmota monax (woodchuck). RNAcentral's name for it is "tRNA.Val". Lineage: Eukaryota; Metazoa; Chordata; Mammalia; Rodentia; Sciuridae. The record is from RNAcentral.
GGAUUGUGGCUCUGUGGUAGAGUGCUUGCCUCACAUGUGUGAGGCACUGGGUUUGAUUCUCAGCACCA